RNAcentral lists this unclassified non-coding RNA (434 nucleotides) under Zea mays. Its description in RNAcentral is "misc RNA Zm00001eb286360". The record is from RNAcentral. Lineage: Eukaryota; Viridiplantae; Streptophyta; Magnoliopsida; Poales; Poaceae.
CGUUGGUCAUGCUCGCUUCUUGUCCUGCUCAGGCUUGGCGCCACCGCUACCUCCCUGUGCUGCUCAGCGCUCGCCACCACCGCUCCGUAUCUGGCUAUUUGCCCAGCUCAGCGCUCGUGCUCGCCACUCCAGUGCUCCAGCUCGUUGUCCUUGCUCACUGUCCCUUUGCUGCUCACGCUCGCCACUGCCUCCCUUUGUCGCCCCUGCCCCUGCUCUCAUCCUUCUCCCCUUUCCUACUGAUCUGCUCACAUUCUCCUCUGAUUUUGGUUAUGAUGAUGAAGCAACAAACAAUAGUGUUGGCUACGGUGAUGAGCACGACAAAGACAAGAAUGAUGGUGGUAUAGAUGAUUUGGAUGAUGGUUAUUGAGAUAUGAUAAGGGAGAUUGAGUAACGCUUGUGUGCUUGCAGUCGUGGACAUUGCAUUCCACUUUAGU